RNAcentral lists this long non-coding RNA (854 nucleotides) under Nicotiana benthamiana. RNAcentral's name for it is "long non-coding RNA (NBEN_LNC029922)". Lineage: Eukaryota; Viridiplantae; Streptophyta; Magnoliopsida; Solanales; Solanaceae. The record is from RNAcentral.
CAGUGGUAUAUGGAUCAAAUGAUAGUGAUCAGAGGGGGACAAUGUGGAAGACUAUUCAGAAUCUGGCUACAGGUAUAACUAAUCCUUGGAUAAUUGCAGGAGAUUUCAAUGCCAUAUUGUCAAGUAAUGAUAGACAAUCAUGCCACCCAGUCAAGCAAGGAGAAACUGUGCAGUUUAAUAACUGCAUACAGUAAGCUGGCCCGGCUGAACUGCCAUGGAAAGGGGAGUUCUUUACCUGGACCAAUAAACAAAGUGGUAAUGAUGGAGUAUAUAGCAGAUUAGAUAGGGUGUUUGGCAAUUAUGAAUGGAUGAUGAAAUGGAACCAUGUACAUACUGUAUAUGGAGCUCCCUUUAUCUCUGAUCAUAAUCCCAUGCUAUUAACCCUAACUGAAGAUACUCAUAGCAGGAAGAUCCCAUUUAGAUUCUACAAUGCAUGGACUCAAAGUAAGGAUUUCCAAUCUUUGGUCAAAGCUAAAUGGAAAAGCACUGCUCAAUGUACCUUGCAAGGUGUAGUAAGGAAUUCCAAUCUUUGGUCAAAGCUAAAUGGAAAAACACUGCUCAAUGUACCUUGCAAGGUGUGUGGAAUAACCUUAUAGCCCUCAAGACUGCCUUAAAAUCUCUAAAUAUUAGAGAAUAUAAGGGUAUUACAUAGAAGAUUGAGAAUAGUAGAAAGGAACUGGAAGCUGUUCAACAACAGAUGGCCAUGUCAUAAACAGAUAACCUACAGCUGAGAGAAAAGGAACUGAUGCAGCAAUUAGAAAAAUGGUCUUUGCUUGAGGAAUCGGCACUGUAACAAAAAUCUAGAGCCAGAUGGAUCCAGCUAGGAGAUUUAAACAAUAAAUACUUCUCAGCAG